CCAAAAAUUUCUACGUACGCACCACCUUUCUCCUCCUUUUAAAACAACGUCGAACGUGUCUUAUCCGCGUGAGAGGAUAAAGAUAAGUGGUUGCACAUUUGAAUUCAAAUCAAAUUUGAAUUCAAAUGCAAAACCAACUCAUCCCUAUCCACCUGGGGAUGAGAAGAGAAGGGGCGUGAGUUGAUUUGUGCAUGAAGAGUUUACACGAGAAACACUUUCUCGUAUAAAAUAUGGGGCGC
Molecule: long non-coding RNA, 239 nt
Filed under: Elaeis guineensis (African oil palm)
Lineage: Eukaryota; Viridiplantae; Streptophyta; Magnoliopsida; Arecales; Arecaceae
Description: long non-coding RNA (EGUI_LNC038888)
Source: RNAcentral